This 226-nucleotide unclassified non-coding RNA is filed under the name Hevea brasiliensis (rubber tree). The record is from RNAcentral. Lineage: Eukaryota; Viridiplantae; Streptophyta; Magnoliopsida; Malpighiales; Euphorbiaceae.
UUGCCUAGUUACAGAGGGGACAACGUGAAUGGAGAUGCUUUCGACGCGAAUUCUAGGGUUCCUGACCCACAGAGGAUGAUCAGGGCUUACAGCCAAUCAGCAGCAACUUUGAAUCUUCUUCGGGCGUUUGCUACCGGUGGAUAUGCUGCCAUGCAGAGGGUUACUCAGUGGAAUCUGGAUUUCGCACAAAAUAGUGAGCAGGGAGACAGGUACCGGGAACUUGCAC